GACGAACGCUGGCGGCGCGCCUAACACAUGCAAGUCGAACGGAGCUGAGAGAAGCUUGCUUUUCUUAGCUUAGUGGCGAACGGGUGAGUAACGCGUGAGUAACCUGCCCUGGAGUGGGGGACAACAGUUGGAAACGACUGCUAGUACCGCAUAAGCCCACGAUCCGGCAUCGGAUUGAGGGAAAAGGAUUUAUUCGCUUCAGGAUGGACUCGCGUCCAAUUAGCUAGUUGGUGAGGUAACGGCCCACCAAGGCGACGAUUGGUAGCCGGACUGAGAGGUUGAACGGCCACAUUGGGACUGAGACACGGCCCAGACUCCUACGGGAGGCAGCAGUGGGGGAUAUUGCACAAUGGGGGAAACCCUGAUGCAGCGACGCCGCGUGGAGGAAGAAGGUUUUCGGAUUGUAAACUCCUGUCGUUAGGGACGAUAAUGACGGUACCUAACAAGAAAGCACCGGCUAACUACGUG
RNAcentral lists this ribosomal RNA (468 nucleotides) under uncultured bacterium. RNAcentral's name for it is "partial 16S ribosomal RNA". It matches the Rfam family "Bacterial small subunit ribosomal RNA", at positions 28 to 507 of the family's 1533-position model. The record is from RNAcentral.